UACGAAGGGGGCGAGCGUUGUUCGGAUUUACUGGGCGUAAAGGGCGCGCAGGCGGUUCUGUUUGUCGAGUGUGAAAGCCCCGGGCUCAACCUGGGAACUGCGCUCGAAACGGCGGAACUAGAGUUCGGGAGAGGAGAGUGGAAUUCCCAGUGUAGAGGUGAAAUUCGUAGAUAUCGGGAGGAACACCGGUGGCGAAGGCGGCGACCUGGGUAGAUACUGACGCUGAGGCGCGAAAGCGUGGGGAGCAAACAGG
This 253-nucleotide ribosomal RNA is filed under the name uncultured bacterium. Its description in RNAcentral is "partial 16S ribosomal RNA". It matches the Rfam family "Bacterial small subunit ribosomal RNA", at positions 524 to 776 of the family's 1533-position model. The record is from RNAcentral.